GUGCCGCUCGCUUUGGCAGCACAUAUACUAAAAUUGGAAUGAUACAGAGAAGAUUAGCAUGGCCCCUGUUCAAGGAUGACACACAAAUUCGUGAAGCGUUCCAUAUUUAA
Molecule: small nuclear RNA, 110 nt
Organism: Otolemur garnettii (small-eared galago)
Lineage: Eukaryota; Metazoa; Chordata; Mammalia; Primates; Galagidae
Source: Ensembl